Molecule: ribosomal RNA, 498 nt
Filed under: uncultured bacterium
Lineage: Bacteria
Description: partial 16S ribosomal RNA
Rfam family: Bacterial small subunit ribosomal RNA
Source: RNAcentral
GAUGAACGCUAGCGGCAGGCCUAAUACAUGCAAGUCGAACGAUAUUACCCAGCUUGCUGGGUAUGAAAGUGGCGCACGGGUGCGUAACGCGUAUGCAACCUACCUUAUUCAGGGGGAUAGCCCGAAGAAAUUCGGAUUAACACCGCAUAAAAUCACAGUUCAGCAUUGGACAAUGAUCAAAUAUUUAUAGGAAUAAGAUGGGCAUGCGUGUCAUUAGCUAGUUGGCGGGGGAACGGCCCACCAAGGCGACGAUGACUAGGGGGUCUGAGAGGAUGACCCCCCACACUGGUACUGAGACACGGACCAGACUCCUACGGGAGGCAGCAGUAAGGAAUAUUGGUCAAUGGAGGCAACUCUGAACCAGCCAUGCCGCGUGCAGGAAGACGGCCCUCUGGGUUGUAAACUGCUUUUAUUCGGGAAUAAACCUAUUUACGUGUAAAUAGCUGAAUGUACCGAAGGAAUAAGGAUCGGCUAACUCCGUGCCAGCCGCCGCCGUAA